CCUACGGGUGGCAGCAGUGAGGAAUAUUGGUCAAUGGGCGCGAGCCUGAACCAGCCAAGUAGCGUGAAGGAUGACUGCCCUACGGGUGGUAAACUUCUUUUAUAAAGGAAUAAAGUGAGGCACGUGUGCCUUUUUGUAUGUACUUUAUGAAUAAGGAACGGCUAACUCCGUGCCAGCAGCGGCGGUAAUACGGAGGAUCCGAGCGUUAUCCGGAUUUAUGGGGUUUAAAGGGAGCGUAGAUGGGUUGUUAAGUCAGGUGUGAAAGUGUGCGGAUCAACCGUAAAAUUGCAAUGGAUACUGGCAGUCUUGAGUACAGUUGAGGUAGGCGGAAUUCGAGGUGUAGCGGUGAAAUGCUUAGAUAUCACGAAGAACUCCGAUUGCGAAGGCAGCUUACUAAACUGCCACUGACAUUGAUGCUCGAAAGUGUGGGUAGCAAACAGGAUUAGAUACCCUUGUAGUC
This 460-nucleotide ribosomal RNA is filed under the name uncultured bacterium. RNAcentral's name for it is "partial 16S ribosomal RNA". It matches the Rfam family "Bacterial small subunit ribosomal RNA", at positions 338 to 795 of the family's 1533-position model. The record is from RNAcentral.